AGGGAUUUUCAUUUAUGUGGUUGAUCUGUUGGCUCCAGAGACGAGCCAUACAUCAAGGUGGCGGUCGUCCGAUCCUACUUCAGGUCGACAUUUUCGUGGUGUCAAGAGCAACGACGUUGUUGUUCAACCUAGUGUCAACGGUUUUGUUCCAUUGCCUCCAACCUUGCAUGUAUCAGGCGGUGUGGCCUUCAUAUCUUAAUGAGACGGGGGUUUGACGGGAAACAAUGUGAUGACGGACCCUGACGACGGCACGACAUCGAUCGGAUGUAGCACAUAUGUGACGGUCUUUAACUUGCUUUUAAUAAAAUGAUUUCUCCAUCAAGAUGAAAGGACUAGGGCUUUUUUGUACGUGUGUCGAGAGCUAGUUAGCGCAAUGCUCUAUGUGAGGAAGGACACGUCGAUGGUGAAGAUGGAGGACAACUUCAACAACGAGUAUGUGAGUUCUCUGGCUAAAAACCCAUGAUCUAGCAUCUUCGACUUGAUCAGACAAUUGCGAUGUAAGUACGUCUUAUCCUUGUUGAAGGUGUUGACUCGAAGCUAUGCUUUUUUUGGGGUUGGGAGGGGGUGGGGUGAGGAGGGUGAUAACCCCAAGUUUGAUCUCUUGGUGGGACUUUACAACAUCGUUGUACGAGCGACGAUCCUUCUAGAAGGCGUUGUUCCGGAGUACCAUGCUUGUUGUUAGGUUCCAUAAUGUUUUACGGUAGAUUUGUUCCCCAACCAUAGUUUUGUGGUAAAUAAUGGAGAAGCUGGCUAUCGCGAGAACGCUUGGCUUUGUUUUUUUUUUCUUUUUAAGCAGAUGAGCUUGUCCUUUAUGCUUGAUCACGUUUCUUCAAUAAAAUUAUAGCUGCAUAUAUUUGAGGAUGUAGAGGUUGGAGAUCAUGUCUUUCUUUCAAGAAAAAAGCUCACUAACGUGCAAGAUAUAGAUUGAAUAUAAGGUAAAGAUAGUGUGAUUUCAUGAAAGGAAAACAACACUAAAGCAGUAAAAGAGUGAAGGGAGGCGCAAGUGACAGAACAUAACUACUGUCUCCGGUGCCAAAUUUUUGUUUUGAUAUUAAAACCACGACAAAAAAUUAGGAUCAGAGAAAGUACAUCAGUGUUAGUCAACUUGUACUCACGGAAUUGACGAGAUAAAAAAAAGAGAGAACCACGCUCAAUGACACGUCCUUCCACUUUGUUCUGAAGUAGAUGGAGGCAUGGAGCUUACAAAAAUAGGAGUAGAAAAGAAGAUAACAACCUUACUC
This 1241-nucleotide long non-coding RNA is filed under the name Brachypodium distachyon (stiff brome). RNAcentral describes it as "long non-coding RNA (BDIS_LNC001979)". Lineage: Eukaryota; Viridiplantae; Streptophyta; Magnoliopsida; Poales; Poaceae. The record is from RNAcentral.